AGAAAUUUCAUUGCAAAAGUAUUCUAGUUAUACAUAAGAUCGAUAUGGUUCUUACAUAGUUCAUUAACUCCUAUCUAUAAAAUAGAUAUUUUUCCUACAUAGUUUGUUAGUGUCUAUAUUCUAUCCUGUCCUGAUAUUGUUGGCCUUCAAGAAAAAUGCGUUCCCUCCUCCAGUUGGAAAGCUAGCUUUAGUUGUCCAUUUUAAAAUAGCAUUUUAAUUUUUCUUUUCCGUAUCUUGAUCCUUCUUUAAAAACCAAAAGGAUUAAAGGCUGAAAAGCAGCAGUUGCUGCAAGCACUCGCACAACCCUUCGUUGUUCAAUUCUAUUUGAUGCCCAUUUCUCAUUUUGUUUGCACUAAUAGCUCUCUGCAAUCUACAAAAUAACCCUGUUAAACAUUUACUGUAAUGCAAUUUUAAAGUUACAAAUAUAUAUAAAAGAUUGAGUGCAAAUCUUCAAUUACAGGAUAAGUUAGGAAAAGGAAGAGGAAAAUACCUGUGGAUAUGAAUGCUGAAAUGGGUGAUUGCGAUUAUGGGCAAUCAUAUGCCCAUUCAUCCUCUCCUCAUGUUGACUUGCAAAGCCUGGAAUCUGUGCAAAAACCUGGAGGUAUCGACACUAUGAAGUUUAGUAUUCAUCAUUAACCAUAAAGUUGAAGUGAGCCUAUCAACUCAUAAUCAUACUUAUUCAAUGGUUUUUAGUUAAUGAAAGACUUACCAUAAUAAUUAAACAUUGGAUAUGUUGGAGUAAUUGGAGUGCUGAAGGGUCCCGGUAUUCUUCCCAUUGUUCGUUGUGUGAGCAAUUUGACAAAAAUAUCUUCUCUCCUCUUUAGUCUAUGCCAUGGGUACAUGUAGAGGUUUGCGGUGAAACAUGAUAACGACAAGCAAUCAGGUAAUUAACUCAUUAAAGCUCCAUUAUUAAACAGAAAAGGAUCAAGGCAAUCCUGUAACCCUGUCACAUUAUAGAUGCACUAUGGAAGAAAAAUGAAAUGCAAAAUACUAUAAAAGAUGCCUACUUAUUGAGGGAUUCUAAGGGUAAGUUUGAAUCCCAAAGUUAACUCUAUCAAAACAAAAGAAACUUCCAAAACUUUUGCGGAUUUGGAAGAAAGUAAAUAUUAAAAUUAAUAAGCUGCACCUGCAUAUUUAUCAUUGAGGAUUCUAAUAGCUUGCUCAACUUCUUCAAGCUUGGAAAAGCACACAAAACUAAAACUCCAACUUAUUUCAUUAUCAUUUCACAUAAUCUUAACAAAUUUAACCAUUUCACAGUUGUUAAAAAUUUUUUCAGUUAGUUUCCAUCAAUGUCAUCAUUUAUGUGUUUUAUAUACACGUUGAAACCCUAAGAGAUCAAAAAAAUAAAAGAAUUUAACAAAAUUAAAAAAAAAAAUGCACCCAUUAGAAAACUUGUGGUCAUUUUCUCCAAACCUUAUUUUGUUGAAUUUGUUCCCAUGGCAUUCCCUAAAUUUGAUGCUGAAGCAUAUGUUAGCGUUCUUGUUUCUUCAGUGCCUUUGUUACAUAUAACACUUUUGCAAUUUAUCAUUAGUUUUAUUCUCGUCACUAGAGGGUGACCUAUGCGUUGCACCUAGGUAUUUCUAACAAAAGAAGUAUCAUAAUAAAUUUUGAUUUAAUAGUGAUUAAAAUAAUAUAUGUAGAAAUAAUUGUAUCAUGAUUAUUUGUUUUACAAAAAGUAUCUUAUUUGUUAAUUUAGUAGGAACAAUCAAAAUACAAUAGAAUACGUAAAUAAAAAUAAAAGUUACUGAAAAAGCACAAAAACAAUAAAAGCAACGAAUUCAUCCAAAGAAAGAAGACUCCAUGACUGUGAGAGUACCAAUGUUGAUUAUAAAAGCAUUCAAUAUUUAUUUGAAGUAUAAAAAAGAAAUAGAGGAAUAAAGUAAUAAUACGCAUAAUUAUUAUCGAGAAAACAAUUCAAUCACAAUCCUUAAAUAUUUAUCCAAAAAUAAGAAACACAUAAAAUUAUAACAAUCACAAUAACAUUAACAUCCACACCAAAUGCAAUAGGAGGCAAAAUAAUAAAAAAUUUGAUUUAUUUUCUGUUCAAACAAAACAAAAUUAAAAGCAAAAAUGAAUAAAUGCUAGGAAUUUUUUUUAAAGCGCUUGCUAUUUUUAAACCCCGAUUACAAACUCACCAUACAUACACAACAACAACAACAUGCUACCAUGUAAAACUUGAGUAAGUGAAGAUAUUCCUUUACAAAUAAUAAAUGGAAAAGGCAUCAAGACCAGAAACAUCCAAAUGCAAAAGGAAAGAAUCCAAAAAAAAAAAAACACAAAAAACAAGAAAAGCCAAUGAAACAAAUGGACAAUAAUAUGCGCAAAAGAAAAAAAAUCAAAGCAAAAUAGAGAACUUGCAAAACAUAGACAAACCUGCAAACCAGAGAAAGUAAAAAAGCCAUUAAAUACUAAGAAGAGAAGAAACAAAGCAAAGAUCAAAGCACCUAAACACAAAAAGACCUAAACAAAAGACUGAGAAAGAAUCACAAAAGAUUAAAAAGGUAAUUCAAAAUCCAACAAACACAUAAUACCAAGACAAAAAUCUCCUCACAACCCAGAGGAAAAUGAAUAUUAAUUAUCAUCAUUAAAAAUUUCUUAAUUUUAAUGAGGACAUACUAUAAAUUAUCUUUCGUUUUAAUUGAUCUUUUUUUUUUCCUAUAACAUUAGAAAAGAAGUAAAAAUCAACGAAAACAAUCUUGAGUGAAUUGAGUUCAGAAACAAUAAGAAAAUAAACAAAAAAAAAGCCUGUAAAAAAAGAAAACCCAAAUCAAAACAGAGAAAAACAAACCUGCAAAUCACACAAAGCAAGAAACCAAAAGAAAACCAUAAAGAAAACAAUGAGAAUGAAAGCAAAGAAAAACCAUAGAGGAAGAAGGCAAACAAAAAAAAAAAAGGUUCUAGAAUAGAGCAAAGAAGGAAAUAAACGAAGAAGACAAAGAAAAAAGGUUCUAGAAUAGAGCAAAGAAACAAAUAAACUAAGCAGACAAAAAGGAGGACUGGAAUAGAAAACAGGAAAAUACAAAAAUGUCCUCGAUAAAAUAUUAAAAACUGAAACGCACUUAACGAAAGGAAGAGAAAAAAUAUGAAGACCCGAAAAGUCCCUCAAAAUCCAACAACGACUAAUGGAGCCACCAAAGUAUCUGCUUUCCCCUAAGAGGGAAUCAAGUUGGUUAAAUCACAUUCAAACCCGUUGAACUCAACCUACCCAAAGGCUUUUGAGCUCCAAACCCUCAAAUUGGAAAGCAGUGUUUUCCCGUUGACACGUAAAAUCUUUCCCUUUGGAAAAUGUUUUCAAUCUUCCAAAUAGCUUUAACUCCUGAAAAUGGUUUUUGAAAAACAUUUUCUGCAAAACAACGGACCCUUUUUUUCAAAAUUUUUAACAUUUUUUCCAACAAAAUACCCAAUGCCUCGUUCUUGAUUUGGUCAGUUCUAGUAACAUAUGCGUCUUUGGGCCUCCAGUUGAUUACAAACUUGCCUUCCAAAGCUUAACAAAAGUAGUUUUCAAAACGACAAUCUUUUUCCGCGCACAACACCAAAUUCGGCAAAAAUUUAUUUCAAAAUUUUCACAGUUCCCAGCCCUCCAAAAUUUCCAUGAAAGGGCGUGAAAUGAAGAUAUUUAGCGCCUAAACAAACAAACCCUAUUGGUCCUUUCCAUUUCACGCGGAUUACAAUCCCCGGCACUCCCUCUCUCCACCGUACGAUCAAAAAAAAAAAAGGAAAGAUCCUCCCCACUCCAAAAUUUCCCAGUUUUCGAAUCUCCC
This 3761-nucleotide long non-coding RNA is filed under the name Theobroma cacao (cacao). Its description in RNAcentral is "long non-coding RNA (TCAC_LNC000081)". Lineage: Eukaryota; Viridiplantae; Streptophyta; Magnoliopsida; Malvales; Malvaceae. The record is from RNAcentral.